CUGCAGCUAGCAUUGAUGAGUCGUUCAGUGAGCAAUCGACACCACUGACUGAACGUCUGAGUUCUCACCGCACGUCAUUCCUUUGGUAAUCUCCGCCAUCAGGCUGAAGGCUGACCGAGCAAAUGGAGAAUGAUGAUGAUUGUCAAGAUCUGUAAAUCUGUGUUAUCAGAGAAAGAAUCAACGCUGAAGCAGACUGUGCACGUCUCGACCGCUCCUAAUCAGAUACGCCCACAGCUAACUACGUGCCAGCAGCCGCGGUAAUACGUAGGUGUCAAGCGUUAUCCUGUAUUAUUGGGCGUAAAGCGCGCGUAGGCGUUUUUUUAAGUCUGAUGUGAAAGCCCACGGCUCAACCGUGGAGUGUCAUUGGAAACUGGAAAACUCGAGUGCAGAAGAGGAAAGUGGAAUUCCAUGUGUAGCGGUGAAAUGCGCAGAGAUAUGGAGGAACACCAGUGGCGAAGGCGACUUUCUGGUCUGUAACUGACGCUGAUGUGCGAAAGCGUGGGGAUCAAACAGGAUUAGAUACCCUGGUAGUCCACGCCGUAAACGAUGAGUGCUAAGUGUUAGGGGGUUUCCGCCCCUUAGUGCUGCAGCUAACGCAUUAAGCACUCCGCCUGGGGAGUACGACCGCAAGGUUGAAACUCAAAGGAAUUGACGGGGACCCGCACAAGCGGUGGAGCAUGUGGUUUAAUUCGAAGCAACGCGAAGAACCUUACCAAAUCUUGACAUCCUUUGACCGCUCUAGAGAUAGAGUUUUCCCCUUCGGGGGACAAAGUGACAGGUGGUGCAUGGUUGUCGUCAGCUCGUGUCGUGAGAUGUUGGGUUAAGUCCCGCAACGAGCGCAACCCUUAAGCUUAGUUGCCAUCAUUUAGUUGGGCACUCUAAGUUGACUGCCGGUGACAAACCGGAGGAAGGUGGGGAUGACGUCAAAUCAUCAUGCCCCUUAUGAUUUGGGCUACACACGUGCUACAAUGGACAAUACAAAGGGCAGCGAAACCGCGAGGUCAAGCAAAUCCCAUAAAGUUGUUCUCAGUUCGGAUUGUAGUCUGCAACUCGACUACAUGAAGCUGGAAUCGCUAGUAAUCGUAGAUCAGCAUGCUACGGUGAAUACGUUCCCGGGUCUUGUACACACCGCCCGUCACACCACGAGAGUUUGUAACACCCGAAGCCGGUGGAGUAACCAUUUGGAGCUAGCCGUCGAAGGUGGGACAAAUGAUUGGGGUGAAGUCGUAACAAGUUGGCCAUCCGAAGUGCGGCUGGUAAUACUCCUCCGUAGACAA
Molecule: ribosomal RNA, 1277 nt
Filed under: Staphylococcus sp.
Lineage: Bacteria; Bacillati; Bacillota; Bacilli; Caryophanales; Staphylococcaceae
Description: bacterial SSU rRNA
Rfam family: Bacterial small subunit ribosomal RNA
Source: RNAcentral